UACGAAGGGUGCAAGCGUUAAUCGGAAUUACUGGGCGUAAAGCGUGCGUAGGCGGCUGCUUAAGUCUGUUGUGAAAUCCCCGGGCUCAACCUGGGAAUGGCAAUGGAUACUGGGCAGCUAGAGUGUGUCAGAGGAUGGUGGAAUUCCCGGUGUAGCGGUGAAAUGCGUAGAGAUCGGGAGGAACAUCAGUGGCGAAGGCGGCCAUCUGGGACAACACUGACGCUGAGGCACGAAAGCGUGGGGAGCAAACAGG
Molecule: ribosomal RNA, 253 nt
Filed under: uncultured bacterium
Lineage: Bacteria
Description: partial 16S ribosomal RNA
Rfam family: Bacterial small subunit ribosomal RNA
Source: RNAcentral